Molecule: ribosomal RNA, 468 nt
Filed under: uncultured bacterium
Lineage: Bacteria
Description: partial 16S ribosomal RNA
Rfam family: Bacterial small subunit ribosomal RNA
Source: RNAcentral
GACGAACGCUGGCGGCGUGCUUAACACAUGCAAGUCGAACGGAAAGGCCCUGCUUUUGUGGGGUGCUCGAGUGGCGAACGGGUGAGUAACACGUGAGUAACCUGCCCUUGACUUUGGGAUAACUUCAGGAAACUGGGGCUAAUACCGGAUAGGAGCUCCUGCUGCAUGGUGGGGGUUGGACAGUUUCGGCGGUUGGGGAUGGACUCGCGGCUUAUCAGCUUGUUGGUGGGGUAGGGGCUUACCAAGGCUUUGACGGGUAGCCGGCCUGAGAGGGUGACCGGCCACAUUGGGACUGAGAUACGGGCCAGACUCCUACGGGAGGCAGCAGUGGGGAAUAUUGCACAAUGGGCGGAAGCCUGAUGCAGCAACGCCGCGUGCGGGAUGACGGCCUUCGGGUUGUAAACCGCUUUCGCCUGUGACGAAGCGUGAGUGACGGUAAUGGGUAAAGAAGCACCGGCUAACUACGUG